CACCUAUUCUUUUUAAAUCCACUUAUUCUUAUAGUAAGUGCUUGCUUGGUUUUAGGUUGGGGUGACCGCGGAGUAAAAAUGAGCCUCCACGAAAAAAGGCAUAAAAGCCUUAUCAAAGAAUCACACUUCUAUGAAUUAGUAAACUAAUUUUUGAUGAUCCGAUAUUCGAUCAACGAACCAAGUUACCCUGGGGAUAACAGCGCAAUCCACCUCAAGAGCUCCUAUCGACAAGUGGGUUUACGACCUCGAUGUUGGAUCAGGGUACCCCAGUGGUGCAGCAGCUACUAAAGGUUCGUUUGUUCAACGAUUAAAACCCU
Molecule: ribosomal RNA, 317 nt
Filed under: Boophis narinsi
Lineage: Eukaryota; Metazoa; Chordata; Amphibia; Anura; Mantellidae
Description: partial 16S ribosomal RNA
Rfam family: Bacterial large subunit ribosomal RNA
Source: RNAcentral